RNAcentral lists this transfer RNA (55 nucleotides) under Porcellio dilatatus dilatatus. Its description in RNAcentral is "tRNA-Gln". The record is from RNAcentral. Lineage: Eukaryota; Metazoa; Arthropoda; Malacostraca; Isopoda; Porcellionidae.
CAACUAAAUAGUGUAUUAGCACAUAAGAUUUUGAGCCUUAUAGAUUGGAUUAUAA